AGUGAACGCUGGCGGCAGGCCUAAUACAUGCAAGUCGAGCGGCAGCGGGUGAUUCUGGCUUCUGGGGUGCUGGGGACGGGCGAGGAAUACACCCGAAUCUGCCCUACCUUUGGGGCUGAGCUAGGGUAACUAAGGCGGAUCUCGCACAGGACGUACGGGUGAAACGGGGGGAUCGCAAGAGAUAGCCGGACUGGCUGACCCGUUUUGCGAUUAGCUAGCUGGCGGGGUAAAGGCCCACCAAGGCGACGAUCGGUAGCUGGUCUGAGAGGAUGAUCAGCCACACUGGGACUGAGACACGGCCCAGACUCCUACGGGAGGCAGCAGUGGGGAAUAUUGGACAAUGGGCGCAAGCCUGAUCCAGCCAUGCCGCGUGGGUGAAGAAGGCCUUCGGGUUGUAAAGCCCUUUUGUCCGGGAAGAAAUCGUCUGGGCUAAUACCCCGGGCGGAUGACGGUACCGGAAGAAUAAGCACCGGCUAACUUCGUG
This 484-nucleotide ribosomal RNA is filed under the name uncultured bacterium. Its description in RNAcentral is "partial 16S ribosomal RNA". It matches the Rfam family "Bacterial small subunit ribosomal RNA", at positions 30 to 507 of the family's 1533-position model. The record is from RNAcentral.